GUUUCUGUGGCGCAAUCGGUUAGUGCGUUCGGCUGUUAACCGAAAGGUUAAUGGUUCGAAUCCAUCCAGAAACG
This 74-nucleotide transfer RNA is filed under the name Dendronephthya gigantea. RNAcentral describes it as "tRNA-Asn". It matches the Rfam family "tRNA". From Rfam's summary of the family: Transfer RNA (tRNA) molecules are approximately 80 nucleotides in length. Their secondary structure includes four short double-helical elements and three loops (D, anti-codon, and T loops). Lineage: Eukaryota; Metazoa; Cnidaria; Anthozoa; Malacalcyonacea; Nephtheidae. The record is from RNAcentral.